UCUGUCUUUCCUGCUUCCGGUGGUCGGAACUAUCUGAAACUUUCUGGGUUUAGAGAUGAGAAGUCUCCUUUGAUGUGGGAGCUUUCUUCUUGGGUCCGAUGGUAAGUUCAAAAAUCUAUAAAAGGAAAGUUUCGGUUUUUAUGUUAUAUAUUAAUUACAAAAGUUUCUUUUUAAAGGUACGGUUUAUACCUUGAGCAUCUGUUAUCAACUUCAAGAGUCAUGGGGUUCUUCGUUUCUUCAACAUCGAGCACAACUCACAAAGAUGAAUACGAAGACAUGGU
This 281-nucleotide long non-coding RNA is filed under the name Brassica napus (rape). RNAcentral describes it as "long non-coding RNA (BNAP_LNC014338)". The record is from RNAcentral. Lineage: Eukaryota; Viridiplantae; Streptophyta; Magnoliopsida; Brassicales; Brassicaceae.